GACGUAGGGCGCGAGCGUUGUCCGGAUUUAUUGGGCGUAAAGAGCUCGUAGGCGGCUUGUUGCGUCGACCGUGAAAACCCGGGGCUCAACUUCGGGCUUGCGGUCGAUACGGGCGGGCUAGAGUUCGGUAGGGGAGACUGGAAUCCCUGGUGUAGCGGUGAAAUGCGCAGAUAUCAGGAGGAACACCGGUGGCGAAGGCGGGUCUCUGGGCCGAUACUGACGCUGAGGAGCGAAAGCGUGGGGAGCGAACAGG
This 253-nucleotide ribosomal RNA is filed under the name uncultured bacterium. RNAcentral's name for it is "partial 16S ribosomal RNA". It matches the Rfam family "Bacterial small subunit ribosomal RNA", at positions 524 to 776 of the family's 1533-position model. The record is from RNAcentral.